GACGAACGCUGGCGGCGUGCUUAACACAUGCAAGUCGAACGGUAAGGCCCUUCGGGGUACACGAGUGGCGAACGGGCGAGUAACACGUGGGUGAUCUGCCCUGCACUUCGGGAUAAGCCUGGGGAACUGGGUCUAAUACCGGAUAGGACCACUGCCGGCAUGGGUGGUGGUGGAAAGCUUUUGCGGUGUGGGAUGGGCCCGCGGCCGAUCAGCUUGUUGGUGGGGUGAUGGACUACCAAGGCGACGACGGGUAGCCGGCCUGAGAGGGUGACCGGCCACACUGGGACUGAGAUACGGCCCAGACUCCUACGGGAGGCAGCAGUGGGGAAUAUUGCACAAUGGGCGCAAGCCUGAUGCAGCGACGCCGCGUGAGGGAUGACGGCCUUCGGGUUGUAAACCUCUUUCAGCACCGACGAAGCGCAAGUGACGGUAGGUGCAGAAGAAGGACCGGCCAACUACGUGCCAGCCGCCGCGGUAA
Molecule: ribosomal RNA, 478 nt
Filed under: uncultured bacterium
Lineage: Bacteria
Description: partial 16S ribosomal RNA
Rfam family: Bacterial small subunit ribosomal RNA
Source: RNAcentral